Molecule: unclassified non-coding RNA, 219 nt
Filed under: fungal sp.
Lineage: Eukaryota; Fungi
Description: partial internal transcribed spacer region
Rfam family: Eukaryotic small subunit ribosomal RNA (bases 1-46)
Source: RNAcentral
AAGUCGUAACAAGGUUUCCGUAGGUGAACCUGCGGAAGGAUCAUUAAUGAAUUAGAGUAACUCUUAGGAGUACUCAACCCUCAUUUCCAACACUGUGCACUUUUUGGGUGUGCUGAGUCCAUUUGGACUUGAGCUACCCCUCACUUAAACACUAGUAAAAGUAUGUAAUAUAAAAAUAUAACCAUAUAAAAACUUUCAACAACGGAUCUCUUGGCUCUC